Molecule: ribosomal RNA, 1121 nt
Filed under: Rhopalosiphum maidis (corn leaf aphid)
Lineage: Eukaryota; Metazoa; Arthropoda; Insecta; Hemiptera; Aphididae
Description: partial 16S large subunit ribosomal RNA
Source: RNAcentral
UUUUUUAUAAAAAUAAUUUAUUAAUUUAAAGUUUUAGUAUUAAUUGAAAAUUAAUUUAUAGAUUUAUAGUUUAAUAGUAUUGUGAAAGAAAUAAUUAAAUUUAAAAAAGAAUUAUUUUAGUACCUUUUGUAUCAGGGUUGAUUAAAAUUUUUAAUUUUUUUUUAAAUUCUCAAAAUUUAUAGAGUUAAUUUUAUUAUUAAUUUAUUGUGUUAUAAAUAUUUAUAAAAUAAUAUUAGUUUUGAAAUUUAAUUCGUUAUAUUAUAUUUAGUUAUUUAAGAUUUAAAUUUAAUUUAAAAUUUUGAAAGUUAUUUUAAUUUUUUUGAUUAAUAUUUCAAAUUUAAAUUAUUUUAGGGAUAAGCUUGAAAUUUUUAUAUAAUAAUUUAUUUAUUUUAAUAAUUUAUAGGAAUAGAAAUUUUUAUUUAAGUUUGUAAAAAUUUAUUAUUUAUUUAUUUUUAAUUUAUUAUAAAUUAUUUAUUAUUAAUAUUAAAUUUUAUUAAUUAAUAUUUAAUUAAUAGUAAUAAUGAUUAAAUUAGUAUAAUUUAAAUUUAUAAAUUAUGAAUUCGGCAAAAAUUAUUUUCAUCUGUUUAACAAAAACAUUGUAUUAAGUUUAAUUUAAUAUAGGAUCUGCUCAAUGAUUUAUUAAAUAGCUGCAGUAUUUUGACUGUGCAAAGGUAGCAUAAUAAUUAGUCUUUUAAUUGAGGACUUGAAUGAAAGAUUUGAUGAGAAAUAAACUUUAUUAUUUAUAUAAUUAAAAUUUUAUUUUUAAGUAAAAAAGCUUAAAUUUUUUAAAGGGACGAUAAGACCCUAUAAAACUUUAUAAAUUUUAAUUUUAAUUUUUUUGGGUUAAUAAAUAUUUUAUUUUUAAAAUUUAUUUUAUUGGGGUGAUAAAAAAAAUUAAUAAACUUUUUUUAAAAUUUAACAUUAUUUAAUGAAUUAUUGAAUUAAAAUUUUUAAUUAAAGGAAAAAGUUACUUUAGGGAUAACAGCGUAAUUAAUUUUUUAAGUUCAAAUUUAAAAAUUAGUUUGCGACCUCGAUGUUGAAUUAAGAUUAAUCUUAGGUGCAAAAUUUUAAGUAUUAGGUCUGUUCGACCUUUAAAUUCUUACAUGAUUUGAGUUCAAACC